RNAcentral lists this non-coding RNA (30 nucleotides) under Mus musculus (house mouse). The record is from RNAcentral. Lineage: Eukaryota; Metazoa; Chordata; Mammalia; Rodentia; Muridae.
UCACUGUUGCCAAGUGAUCUACUGAAUUUU